This 253-nucleotide ribosomal RNA is filed under the name uncultured bacterium. RNAcentral describes it as "partial 16S ribosomal RNA". It matches the Rfam family "Bacterial small subunit ribosomal RNA", at positions 524 to 776 of the family's 1533-position model. The record is from RNAcentral.
UACAGAGGUCUCAAGCGUUGUUCGGAUUCAUUGGGCGUAAAGCGCGCGUAGGCGGCUCGGAAAGUCGGAUGUGAAAAUCCAGGGCUCAACCCUGGACCUGCGUUCGAUACGGGCAGACUAGAGUUCGGUAGGGGAGACUGGAAUUCCUGGUGUAGCGGUGAAAUGCGCAGAUAUCCGGAGGAACACCGGUGGCGAAGGCGGCUUCCUGGACCGACACUGACGCUGAGGCGCGAAAGCUAGGGGAGCAAACGGG